This 465-nucleotide ribosomal RNA is filed under the name Vreelandella stevensii. RNAcentral's name for it is "partial 16S ribosomal RNA". It matches the Rfam family "Bacterial small subunit ribosomal RNA", at positions 338 to 795 of the family's 1533-position model. The record is from RNAcentral. Lineage: Bacteria; Pseudomonadati; Pseudomonadota; Gammaproteobacteria; Oceanospirillales; Halomonadaceae.
CCUACGGGCGGCUGCAGUGGGGAAUAUUGGACAAUGGGGGGAACCCUGAUCCAGCCAUGCCGCGUGUGUGAAGAAGGCCCUCGGGUUGUAAAGCACUUUCAGUGAGGAAGAACGCCUGGUGGUUAAUACCCAUCAGGAAAGACAUCACUCACAGAAGAAGCACCGGCUAACUCCGUGCCAGCAGCCGCGGUAAUACGGAGGGUGCGAGCGUUAAUCGGAAUUACUGGGCGUAAAGCGCGCGUAGGUGGCUUGAUAAGCCGGUUGUGAAAGCCCCGGGCUCAACCUGGGAACGGCAUCCGGAACUGUCAAGCUAGGGUGCAGGAGAGGAAGGUAGAAUUCCCGGUGUAGCGGUGAAAUGCGUAGAGAUCGGGAGGAAUACCAGUGGCGAAGGCGGCCUUCUGGACUGACACUGACACUGAGGUGCGAAAGCGUGGGUAGCAAACAGGAUUAGAUACCCCAGUAGUC